RNAcentral lists this ribosomal RNA (770 nucleotides) under uncultured bacterium. RNAcentral's name for it is "bacterial SSU rRNA". It matches the Rfam family "Bacterial small subunit ribosomal RNA", at positions 71 to 842 of the family's 1533-position model. The record is from RNAcentral.
ACAGGGUAGCAAUACCGCUGACGAGUGGCGCACGGGUGCGUAACACGUACACAAUCUGCCUUAUACUGGAGCAUACCCCCAAGAAAUUGGGACUAAUUCUCCAUAAUAUAUUUGAAUGGCAUCAUUUGAAUAUUAAAACUCCGGUGGUAUAAGAUGAGUGUGCGUCCGAUUAGGUAGUUGGUGAGGUAACGGCUCACCAAGCCAACGAUCGGUAGCUGGUCUGAGAGGACGAUCAGCCACACGGGCACUGAGACACGGGCCCGACUCCUACGGGAGGCAGCAGUAGGGAAUAUUGGACAAUGGGCGCAAGCCUGAUCCAGCCAUCCCGCGUGAAGGAUUAAGGCCCUCUGGGUUGUAAACUUCUUUUCUCUGGGAAUAAAAAGUGGAAUUCUUUCCGCCUUGAAGGUACCAGAGGAAUAAGCACCGGCUAACUCCGUGCCAGCAGCCGCGGUAAUACGGAGGGUGCAAGCGUUAUCCGGAUUCACUGGGUUUAAAGGGAGCGUAGGUGGCUUUGUAAGUCAGUGGUGAAAUGCCGCAGCUCAACUGCGGAACUGCCAUUGAUACUGCUUAGCUUGAAUCACGUCGAGGUGGAUGGAAUAAUACAUGUAGCGGUGAAAUGCUUAGAUAUGUAUUAGAACACCGAUUGCGAAGGCAGUUCACUAGGCGUGUAUUGACACUGAGGCUCGAAAGCGUGGGGAUCAAACAGGAUUAGAUACCCUGGUAGUCCACGCCCUAAACGAUGUAAACUCGACAUUAGCGAUAUACUGUUA